GGGGGUGUAUUGGAUUCGACAGGGCCGGUUUGAAUCAUAGAGCGCAUGCCGGGGUGUGGCCACCUCGUUAAUAAGGCCACAAAAAACAACUGCCAACUACAGCUACGCAUACGCUGCUUAAUUAAGGCAGCCGUCCCUUUCCGAGGUGCUCCUGCUCGGAAAGAGGGCGUGAUAGACAGGAGCUGGACUCAAACCCUUGCCUUCGGGGUUUGGGUCGAGAAACGAGAAGGCUAUCCCUCAAAGCACCUGCCUGUCGGUGUGAGAGGGAGAAAAACAAAGACAGGCUAAGCAUGUAGGGCUCUAUGGUUCAAGGCCCCUGGACGCGGGUUCAAUUCCCGCCACCUCCACCA
Molecule: transfer-messenger RNA, 350 nt
Filed under: Caldifarciminota bacterium
Lineage: Bacteria; Pseudomonadati; Caldifarciminota
Description: candidate division WOR-3 bacterium (hot springs metagenome) transfer-messenger RNA
Rfam family: transfer-messenger RNA
About the family: Bacterial tmRNA, also known as 10Sa RNA or SsrA, is named for its dual tRNA and mRNA-like properties.
Source: RNAcentral